AGACCUACAGCCAGACAGGAUGAUCACAGACAAUGUGAUUUGGUGAUGGGAGCUAUGAGCAGUGCAGGCAUGUUGGAUUCAAGGGAUGUUGGGAUCUUUUCUCUCAUCACCUCUGUACCGUCCACGUUUUUGCCCUCAGGCCCUGUUGAAGAGAAUGGACAGUCAUCUGAAAAAAGACAAUUCUGUUACGUACCACGUAUACAGCUCAAACCCCGACCGACCAGAAACCUCAGCCCAGCCGGAUGGGUUGUACAGUCUUCUGCAAGCACACUGACACUACACCACUGGCUUUCUGUAGCUAUUUCUCACAGAAAUACUCUUUCUUGCAGGAUGACCU
Molecule: long non-coding RNA, 337 nt
Organism: Oncorhynchus masou masou (cherry salmon)
Lineage: Eukaryota; Metazoa; Chordata; Actinopteri; Salmoniformes; Salmonidae
Exons: 4
Source: RefSeq, a predicted model, not a curated record